CGCUGGCGGCACGCCUAACACAUGCAAGUCGAACGAAGUAGCAAUACUUAGUGGCAGACGGGUGAGUAACAUGUAGGUAUCUGCCCUUUGGCCUGGAAUAACACGAGGAAACUUGUGCUAAUACUGGAUAAGUCUUUACGGAGAAAGCUUUAUGCACCAUUGGAUGAGCCUGCACUUGAUUAGUUUGUUGGUGGGGUAAUGGCCUACCAAGACUGUGAUCAAUAGCUGAUUUGAGAGGAUGAUCAGCCACAUUGGGACUGAGACACGGCCCAAACUCCUACGGGAGGCAGCAGUGGGGAAUCUUGCACAAUGGAGGAAACUCUGAUGCAGCGAUGCCGCGUGAGUGAAGAAGGCCCUUGGGUUGUAAAGCUCUUUCGUCGGGGAAGAAAAUGACUGUACCCGAAUAAGAAGGUCCGGCUAACUUCGUGCCAGCAGCCGCGGUAAUACGAAGGGACCUAGCGUAGUUCGGAAUUACUGGGCUUAAAGAGUUCGUAGGUGGUUGAAAAAGUUGGUGGUGAAAUCCCAGAGCUUAACUCUGGAACUGCCAUCAAAACUUUUCAGCUAGAGUAUGAUAGAGGAAAGCAGAAUUUCUAGUGUAGAGGUGAAAUUCGUAGAUAUUAGAAAGAAUACCAAUUGCGAAGGCAGCUUUCUGGAUCAUUACUGACGCUGAGGAACGAAAGCAUGGGUAGCGAAGAGGAUUAGAUACCCUCGUAGUCCAUGCCGUAAACGAUGUGUGUUAGACGUUGGAAAUUUAUUUUCAGUGUCGCAGCGAAAGCGAUAAACACACCGCCUGGGGAGUAC
This 801-nucleotide ribosomal RNA is filed under the name uncultured Pelagibacteraceae bacterium. RNAcentral's name for it is "bacterial SSU rRNA". It matches the Rfam family "Bacterial small subunit ribosomal RNA", at positions 34 to 883 of the family's 1533-position model. Lineage: Bacteria; Pseudomonadati; Pseudomonadota; Alphaproteobacteria; Candidatus Pelagibacterales; Candidatus Pelagibacteraceae. The record is from RNAcentral.